UCGGCGCUCCGCUCCGCUUACCGCAGGCCUUGACGACAUGAGCAGCAAAGAAGGAUCAGGAGGGUUCAGGAAAAGGAAGCAUGGCAAUUUUCCACAUAACCAAAGAAGAGAAGGGAAGGAUGUUAAUUCAUCUUCACCCGUGAUGCUGGCCUUCAAAUUGCUCCUGAUAUGGAAGAAAUACUGAAUGAAUCAGAAAUUAAAUUGGAUGGUGUCCGACAGAAGAUAUUACAGGUAGCACAGGAGGUAUCAGGAGAAGACAUGCACCAAUUUCAUCGAGCCAUCACCACAGGACUGCAGGAAUAUGUGGAAGCUGUUUCUUUUCAACACUUUAUCAAAAUAGGAUCAUUAAUCAGUAUGGAUGAAAUUAAUAAACAAUUGAUAUUUACAACUGAAGACAAUGGGAAAGAAAAUAAGACGCCCUCCUCUGAUGCACAAGAUAAGCAGUUGGGCACUUGGAGGCUGAAAAUCACACCUGUCGAUCACCUUCUGGGAGUGGCUGAUUUAACUGGAGAAUUGAUGCGGAUGUGUAUUAACAGUGUGGGGAAUGGGGACAUUGAUACCCCCUUCGAAGUGAGCCAAUUUUUACGUCAGGUUUAUGAUGGAUUUUCAUUCAUUGGCAACACCGGACCAUAUGAGGUUUCUAAGAAGCUGUAUACCUUGAAACAAAGUCUGGCCAAAGUGGAGAAUGCUUGUUAUGCUUUGAAAGUCAGAGGUUCAGAAAUUCCAAAACAUAUGCUGGCAGAUGUGUUUUCAGUUAAAACAGAUAUGAUUGAUCAAGAAGAGGGCAUUUCUUCGAAUAAUGUUUCCCAGUUACUAUUCUUCUGAGAACUCCUAAGAGAGACCAAUUUGUAAGACUGUUAUUUCGUAUUUCAUUUGACUUUAUUGUGGCUUUUACAUAGAAUCGUUCUCAGUUUUACUUGUUUUAAAGUGUAUAUAAGCUGUACAUAAAAUUAUCCAAAUGAAUCAUUUGUUAUAUCUUAUUCAUGGAAAUUUGCAUGCAAAUGUUUGCCUAUAUACCUAUUUGAAUUUUUGCUGGUUAACCCUCAUCAUUUAUCUUUGUAAUGUGAACAUAAUACAUACUUCAGAGUGCACUUUCUGCCAUAUCUGUUUUAAUUUACUUUUUGUGAAUUUUUGAGUG
This is a non-coding RNA of Microcebus murinus (gray mouse lemur), 1138 nucleotides long. NCBI's taxonomy places the organism in Eukaryota, Metazoa, Chordata, Mammalia, Primates, Cheirogaleidae. The record is from RefSeq and is a predicted model, not a curated record.